RNAcentral lists this ribosomal RNA (497 nucleotides) under uncultured bacterium. RNAcentral describes it as "bacterial SSU rRNA". It matches the Rfam family "Bacterial small subunit ribosomal RNA", at positions 30 to 518 of the family's 1533-position model. The record is from RNAcentral.
UGAACGCUAGCGACAGGCUAACACAUGCAAGUCGAGGGGCAGCACGGGAGUAGCAAUACAACUGGUGGCGACCGGCGCACGGGUGAGUAACGCGUAUGCAACCUACCUAUCAGGAGGGGAAUAACCCGGCGAAAGUCGGACUAAUACCGCAUAAAACAGGGGCACCGCAUGGUGAUAUUUGUUAAAGAGAUUCGCUGAUAGAUGGGCAUGCGUUCCAUUAGGUAGUUGGUGAGGUAACGGCUCACCAAGCCGACGAUGGAUAGGGGAACUGAGAGGUUGGUCCCCCACACUGGUACUGAGACACGGACCAGACUCCUACGGGAGGCAGCAGUGAGGAAUAUUGGUCAAUGGGCGGGAGCCUGAACCAGCCAAGUCGCGUGAAGGAAGAAGGAUCUAUGGUUCGUAAACUUCUUUUGCAGGGGAAUAAAGUGCAGGACGUGUCCUGUUUUGUAUGUACCCUGAGAAUAAGGAUCGGCUAACUCCGUGCCAGCAGCCGC